UCCCUGGUGGUCCAGUGGCUAAGACUCUGCACUCCCAGUACAGGAGGCCUGGGUUUGAUCCCCAGUGAGGGAU
Molecule: transfer RNA, 73 nt
Filed under: Bos taurus (domestic cattle)
Lineage: Eukaryota; Metazoa; Chordata; Mammalia; Artiodactyla; Bovidae
Also listed under: 4 other names
Rfam family: tRNA
About the family: Transfer RNA (tRNA) molecules are approximately 80 nucleotides in length. Their secondary structure includes four short double-helical elements and three loops (D, anti-codon, and T loops).
Source: Rfam by way of RNAcentral